UGGCUCAGGACGAACGCUGGCGGCGUGCCUAAUACAUGCAAGUAGAACGCUGAAGGAGGGAGCUUGCUUCUUCUGGAUGAGUUGCGAACGGGUGAGUAACGCGUAGGUAACCUGCCUGAUAGCGGGGGAUAACUAUUGGAAACGAUAGCUAAUACCGCAUAAGAGGUAAUAACACAUGUUAUUAGUUUAAAAGGGGCAAUUGCUCCACUAUCAGAUGGACCUGCGUUGUAUUAGCUAGUUGGUAAGGUAACGGCUUACCAAGGCGACGAUACAUAGCCGACCUGAGAGGGUGAUCGGCCACACUGGGACUGAGACACGGCCCAGACUCCUACGGGAGGCAGCAGUAGGGAAUCUUCGGCAAUGGGGGCAACCCUGACCGAGCAACGCCGCGUGAGUGAAGAAGGUUUUCGGAUCGUAAAGCUCUGUUGUAAGAGAAGAACGGAUGUGGGAGUGGAAAAUCCAUGUCGUGACGGUAUCUUACCAGAAAGGGACGGCUAACUACGUGCCAGCAGCCGCGGUAAUACGUAGGUCCCGAGCGUUGUCCGGAUUUAUUGGGCGUAAAGCGAGCGCAGGCGGUUUCAUAAGUCUGAAGUUAAAGGCAGUGGCUUAACCAUUGUACGCUUUGGAAACUGUGAGACUUGAGUGCAGAAGGGGAGAGUGGAAUUCCAUGUGUAGCGGUGAAAUGCGUAGAUAUAUGGAGGAACACCGGUGGCGAAAGCGGCUCUCUGGUCUGUAACUGACGCUGAGGCUCGAAAGCGUGGGGAGCAAACAGGAUUAGAUACCCUGGUAGUCCACGCCGUAAACGAUGAGUGCUAGGUGUUGGGUCCUUUCCGGGACUCAGUGCCGCAGCUAACGCAUUAAGCACUCCGCCUGGGGAGUACGACCGCAAGGUUGAAACUCAAAGGAAUUGACGGGGGCCCGCACAAGCGGUGGAGCAUGUGGUUUAAUUCGAAGCAACGCGAAGAACCUUACCAGGUCUUGACAUCCCGAUGCCCGCUCUAGAGAUAGAGUUUUUCUUCGGAACAUCGGUGACAGGUGGUGCAUGGUUGUCGUCAGCUCGUGUCGUGAGAUGUUGGGUUAAGUCCCGCAACGAGCGCAACCCUUAUUGUUAGUUGCCAUCAUUCAGUUGGGCACUCUAGCGAGACUGCCGGUAAUAAACCGGAGGAAGGUGGGGAUGACGUCAAAUCAUCAUGCCCCUUAUGACCUGGGCUACACACGUGCUACAAUGGCUGGUACAACGAGUCGCAAGUCGGUGACGGCAAGCUAAUCUCUUAAAGCCAGUCUCAGUUCGGAUUGUAGGCUGCAACUCGCCUACAUGAAGUCGGAAUCGCUAGUAAUCGCGGAUCAGCACGCCGCGGUGAAUACGUUCCCGGGCCUUGUACACACCGCCCGUCACACCACGAGAGUUUGUAACACCCGAAGUCGGUGAGGUAACC
This 1436-nucleotide ribosomal RNA is filed under the name uncultured bacterium. RNAcentral describes it as "16S ribosomal RNA". It matches the Rfam family "Bacterial small subunit ribosomal RNA". The record is from RNAcentral.